UACGUAGAUGGCAAGCGUUGUCCGGAGUUAUUGGGCGUAAAGCGCGCGCAGGCGGUUGGAUAAGUCCAUGGUGAAAGCGCCUGGCUCAACUAGGCGAGUGCCGUGGGGACUGUUCAGCUGGAGUGGAGCAGAGGCGAGUGGAAUUCCGGGUGUAGUGGUGAAAUGCGUAGAGAUCCGGAGGAACACCAGAGGCGAAGGCGGCUCGCUGGGCUUUGACUGACGCUGAGGCGCGAAAGCGUGGGGAGCGAACCGG
Molecule: ribosomal RNA, 253 nt
Filed under: uncultured bacterium
Lineage: Bacteria
Description: partial 16S ribosomal RNA
Rfam family: Bacterial small subunit ribosomal RNA
Source: RNAcentral